Molecule: ribosomal RNA, 777 nt
Filed under: Pseudomonas sp. BND-R9
Lineage: Bacteria; Pseudomonadati; Pseudomonadota; Gammaproteobacteria; Pseudomonadales; Pseudomonadaceae
Description: bacterial SSU rRNA
Rfam family: Bacterial small subunit ribosomal RNA
Source: RNAcentral
UUAGAGUUUGAAUCCUGGCUCAGAUUGAACGCUGGCGGCAGGCCUAACACAUGCAAGUCGAGCGGUAGAGAGAAGCUUGCUUCUCUUGAGAGCGGCGGACGGGUGAGUAAUGCCUAGGAAUCUGCCUGGUAGUGGGGGAUAACGUUCGGAAACGGACGCUAAUACCGCAUACGUCCUACGGGAGAAAGCAGGGGACCUUCGGGCCUUGCGCUAUCAGAUGAGCCUAGGUCGGAUUAGCUAGUUGGUGAGGUAAUGGCUCACCAAGGCGACGAUCCGUAACUGGUCUGAGAGGAUGAUCAGUCACACUGGAACUGAGACACGGUCCAGACUCCUACGGGAGGCAGCAGUGGGGAAUAUUGGACAAUGGGCGAAAGCCUGAUCCAGCCAUGCCGCGUGUGUGAAGAAGGUCUUCGGAUUGUAAAGCACUUUAAGUUGGGAGGAAGGGCAGUUACCUAAUACGUGAUUGUUUUGACGUUACCGACAGAAUAAGCACCGGCUAACUCUGUGCCAGCAGCCGCGGUAAUACAGAGGGUGCAAGCGUUAAUCGGAAUUACUGGGCGUAAAGCGCGCGUAGGUGGUUAGUUAAGUUGGAUGUGAAAUCCCCGGGCUCAACCUGGGAACUGCAUUCAAAACUGACUGACUAGAGUAUGGUAGAGGGUGGUGGAAUUUCCUGUGUAGCGGUGAAAUGCGUAGAUAUAGGAAGGAACACCAGUGGCGAAGGCGACCCACCCUGGACCUGAUACUGACCACUGAGGGUGCGAAAGGCGUGGGAGCAAA